This 484-nucleotide ribosomal RNA is filed under the name uncultured bacterium. Its description in RNAcentral is "partial 16S ribosomal RNA". It matches the Rfam family "Bacterial small subunit ribosomal RNA", at positions 30 to 507 of the family's 1533-position model. The record is from RNAcentral.
AUUGAACGCUGGCGGCAGGCCUAACACAUGCAAGUCGAGCGGAUGAAGGGAGCUUGCUCCUGGAUUCAGCGGCGGACGGGUGAGUAAUGCCUAGGAAUCUGCCUGGUAGUGGGGGAUAACGUCCGGAAACGGGCGCUAAUACCGCAUACGUCCUGAGGCAGAAAGUGGGGGAUCUUCGGACCUCACGCUAUCAGAUGAGCCUAGGUCGGAUUAGCUAGUUGGUGGGGUAAAGGCCUACCAAGGCGACGAUCCGUAACUGGUCUGAGAGGAUGAUCAGUCACACUGGAACGGGGACACGGACCAGACUCCUACGGGAGGCAGCAGUGGGGAAUAUUGGACAAUGGGCGAAAGCCUGAUCCAGCCAUGCCGCGUGUGUUAAGAAGGUCUUCGGAUUGUAAAGCACGUUAAGUUGGGAGGAAGGGCAGUAAGUUAAGACCUUGCUGUUUUGACGUUACCAACAGAAUAAGCACCGGCUAACUUCGUG